GUCAGCUGUUUUUAAUUCGAUUGUAAAUAUUUUUAAUAUUAUCUUUGUCGCGUCAAGUGAUGGCUAUUUUGCGUGUAACACUCACUCGGUUUUUACACACCGCACAACUCGCUGGGCAGCACCUCUGGCGCAACUCUCGCUGCAGCAUCCCUUGUGGUUCUCCGUCGCUGAACUCCAUCGCCGCUCUCUGCCACCGCCGACACACUUCCCUUCGCAGAGGUUCCACUCAAUACUUCGCUUGAAACUUCGCUCGGGACUCUCGCCGCACCCGUGGCACUCUCGCCAACCAAUGUAUCGCCGAGAAAUUCGUUUUCCGAGGAACUACUUGCCCAGGAACUUCGCCGCACCCGCGGCACUAUCGCCCCAGAACUCCACCGCACUCGCGGCACUAUCGCCUGGUCUAUCGCACAGGAACUGAACUAACAACUCAACUGAACUGUGAGGCCGGUGUCCUGGGCUUAUAUAGGCCCAGGCGCCACUUCUAGAAGUCGCGAGCACUGCUGGGCCUGUCGCGUCAUCCCGCACCGACCCUACGCCAGAAAUCUUGAGACACGCAUCGGUGGCUCGCGUGGCGAACCGCGGAACUCCCCAGCUGUCAGGUAUCAGAUAAUGGCGCAGAUUCUGUGCGCUGCACGGGGAGUGGAGGGCAGGAGAGAGGGAAAGCGGCGACCGUUGUAAUCAACCAGGCACCGCCAAGUAAACAUUGUCACCGGCGAAGCACAGGCCACGCUGGUAGAGGGACAGAUUCUCCCUUUGCCCAGGCAAUACCACAUCGAGAGCCGUGACCCGGAGAACAAGGGAGCCAGUCUCGAAGAUCGAGUCAGGGGCCCUGUUCCGAUCGUCGAAGUGCUAGGCACUACCGCCGUGGUCAUUCGGCUUUCGACGGUACGGACGGUGAAAUAUCACCGGGACGCAGUUAGGCUGGUGGCCAAGGAAGGGGACUACCACCUGUUAGAUGACGGACACGAACCCGCAACUCCAAGGAGCGGAAACCUGCCGGUCGGGGAGGGCCCAGCCACGUCAACCCCCAGGAAAGAUGCUGACCUAGAGUUCCGGAAAUAGGGUCGCCUAUCCGAGCGACAGCGGACGCAUUCCAGCCGAUACAACUGAAUGCAGAACAGGCGAACCAUACAAUGCACUUCUGAGGUUUUCCGCAGGACGCAGGGACGGAGGGACAAGGGCGGAUCUCGAACCCGUCCCCAUAACCUGGGAACCGGAGGACGUGCCGUCUUGCCCAGAGACACCCGACGAGGAUGUACCUAGGUGGCCUCUUCACCUGUUACUGAUAAAUGCCACUUUUCGCGUGACUUUUGAAGAAUCACUGGAAUACGCCAUUGAUGACGCAGAAGCUACGUGGGGGGGGGGGGGGGAGGCACCCACCUCUGCACCCAGCUACAACUUACGGCCACGCCAGGUGGUGCCCGGCCCCGGUGUUGCAGGCUACAAGGGGCAAACCAGCAACAGCAUGAGACAUUCGGGGGCAGCGUGAACAAGGGCAUAGCAGUGUCACAUCGGGCUCCUUGGGGGUUGGGGGGGGGGGGGUCAUUUGACGUAGACCGGGGCUACGCCCUCCCUAAGCCCGAUGUGCCUCAUGUCUCGCCCUUGCAGGCCCUCUCCUCCCACCACCACCCUCCAUGACCCUGGAGUUUCCACCACCCGCAGUAGUGUAUGUGUGUGCGUGUGUUGGCCCGCGCCCACCGGUGUGACGUCAGUGCUUUGCUCCUGAAUGAUGCCGAGCGAGGACGAACAUUCCCGAGGCAGACUUUAUUUUAAUAUUAAAUUAGUUAUGUAGUUCUAUUGUUUUCAGCCAACAGGCUAAUUUAAUUAAGGGUUUAUGUAUGUUCAUUCCUUUUCCGGUGGCACGCUUUAUUUAAAUACAUGUUAACAGCCGUUGGCCGGAUGUAAGUGGUUAAGUUUAUUUUAAUUAACAUAUCAGUGUCUUAUGUGCGCAUGGCCACGCGGGUAGAGAAUUGAGGCUUGUGCGCUGCCUUCGAGAGCCUAUCUUUUUGUGUUGUUGAAUAAAUAGCAUGACCCCCACUGAGAGGUGAUGUAAUUACGUGUUUUUAUUUAUACUGGGGGAAACGGGCCUCGCUGCACACGGGCGAUGUCACGGCCCUGAGAAUAGAGUCGCUGGUCCACAUGCCCGUAACACAUGUGGUGGCCUCCUAGGUAUAAAGCCAAGUACAUAUAUCCGAAAAUCUGGACCCACUUUGCGACAGUAACACAGUAUCGUAAUAUUAUAUUUCUGGAAAGUAUACAACUAAGCUCAGUUCACAUGCCAUGUGUGGUAUCGUAGAUAUCCAGCAAGAAAAUUUUAAUGCAUAUCAGUGAAAAAAAUUACUAUUAGGGCCAUGAUGGAGGACUUCACACUGAAUGUUUACCAAAUGCCACAUUUAUGCAUCAUGCAUUGGCUGAAGCUUUAUUUAUUUUGGUGCAAAAAUGGAUUGCAAAUAUGUUUUUGUAUCUUUUUUGUAAGAAGAAAAGUGUGCUUUAAAUGCUGUACAAUUUCAUGCCAUGUAGACGAACCCCAUAAAUUUAAACACUGAGAAAUAAAUACAAAAUCCUACAAUAUACAUAGUGCUUAGUUUUAAAUAUAGUCCGUCUAACACUUAGAUUGCAGUGUAGAGCAAGGGCACCAACUUACCAGCCCACACAGUUCAAGGACGUCCCAUAAAUGCCCAUAUGAUAUCUGCCACUGAUAUGACGAAUGUCCAGUGUCCUUGCUAUAUCCACAAAGUAGACAUUGGGAUAUCCUAUGGUAGUUCCAAUGACCACAUUGUGGAUAUAGCCAUCAAGGGUGCCCAAAUGAUUUUUUGUAAGGGGCCCUAGGCCUGAGGGUAUAGAGUGUUUUUAAUAUUUUGGAAGACGAAUGGUAACUUUUAAGUAGCCAUGAAAAAGUUCCAGUUCCAACCCUGUUAAAAAUUUUGCCCUGUUAUUAAAAUACUAGGCCACGGUACUCAUACUCUAUUAAAAAGAAUAACAGGUUAAAUUAACUACUUGUUACUACAUAUUUGGCAACACAAAUGCAGGAGCGAAAUUUAAUACUUUAAACCACUUCUACAUAUUAUCGAAUUUAAAAUAAUUUUCUUGAAAGAAAAACACCUGAUUACACUAAUUUUUUUUUCUUUCUCUGAGGUGUGGGGGGAGGUAUGUGCACCCUUGAUAGCCAGGACAUUCACGAAGGACAUCACUAGGACAUCCACAAAGGACGUCACCCAGAUGUCUAUAAGGGAAUUUGCCUUAUGUCCACAAAGGAAUCUUCUAUGAAUUAAAUUGGGUCUUGUGGAAACCCUGUUACUUGCUACCCACUGUUGUCCAAUUGUCAUCUUUCUGGAAGCAACUGGAGUCUUAAGAUGGCAUGACUUUCUUUUAUUUGAUUCUGGAGAAAAUUCUAGUAGGUUUGUAGAAAAACAAAUUUACUAUACUUGACAACUGGUGCACUAAAUUAUUCUAAACACCAACAACUGCAAUAUUCUACACUAUCAAAAUGGUUUUAUUCUGUAUAUUUCUGUACGGUUUGUAGCACAUUUGUAACCAUGAGGUAAAUGAAUGUUUAUGGCUUAUUAUGAAAGAAAUAUUGAAUGAUGAUAAUAUUUUGAUAAAUUAAGGCAUCUUACUGUAAGUGAAUAAAAAAUGUUAAUUGUACUUAGUUUCGGAUGAGCAUGUGUGAAUUUGUGAUGGUUCUGAUCUUUCCUGCUAGCUAUGGUCUGAACUACACAUGCAUAAAAUACUUGUAUAGUUUUAAAGUUAUGCAUAAAAUACUUGUAUAGUUUUAAAGUUUAAUAGGAAAUUUUCCUAGUUCAGAAUAUCAAAGUGAACAAAUUGGAUAAAAUUUAGAUGGUGGUUAUAUUGAAGGACUUAAUAUUUAUUUUUUUUUACCAAAAUGCACAAUGGCACACAUUACAUGAUAAAGCAAGUCUCUGAUCUUCAUAACACAAAACACAAAAAUAAAUUUACUUUUUCACAGUUCCAAGAAAUAGUAUGAUUUUUAAACUUCCCGCUGUUGAUGAUAAAGGGAACCCGCAGUUACUUCGUAACUGGGUAUGACUUAGAAAUGCCUUGUUCCCAGGCAUGUAAAUUUACGUGGUAGAGAAAGCCGAUACAGAAAACUGUGGUCAAAAAAUACAUGGUUAAAUGGCAAACUGUCACCCGGUGCGACCAGUUGGUAAUGCUGCAAACAAUAACUGAACAACAACAACCUUCCUUUUCUUACUUCAGACCAAUAAAGGUUUUUCAGAACCGAGAAAAUUCAUUGUUCCAAUGCCCAAAACACAUGUCUUGCUCUCUGGCUGACUGUAACAAUCACGAACCUACAGGAGCAUUGCAUCAAAGUUCCUGAAACAAUAUUUAUAAAAAUUACUAAAAAAAUUCAGAAAUAUAGCAUAACUAGAAUAUUAAAAUUAUAUUCUGACAAAAAGUUACACAGCUGCAAUCAGUAGUUUUUACUUAAAUUCUUAAAAUGUGACAUCGUCCGGGCCUGUGGCCCCUUAGAGUCUAAUAUGCCACCGCCCAAACACCACCACCCUCUAUUCAAACCUCCCGCUAACGAGUGCACGCGCGUGUGUGUGAGUUGGUCGCCCGGCAAGAGGGCGCUGUAGAGCUAGUGUGCCGCACCCCUAAAUGUAAUUAAAUAUAUCAUUGUAAAUUGUUUUGAUUGUUUCCCGAGUGCGACGUGACGGCAGAUCAGACGGGAGGGUUUUUAUUUACUUUUAUUUAGCGUAGUGUAUUUAAUUACAAGGACGCUUCCGGACAUUCACGAAGCACACGGAAGGAAACCGAAGUCAGACACUAUUUAAAUAUAUCUAUUAAUAAUUGUAUUUUUUAUUAUCCUUUUUAAUAUUCAGUAAGUGUCAAGUAAUUUUUAAGAGUGUUUAUCCUGUUUACUUUAAUAACCCGGGGCACGCAGUCUUACGAAGGAUAACGGUAAUUGUGUUCGGCGCGAAGGACGCCAUGUUUCCUGCCGCGAGCCUUAUCUCGCCCCAUUCUCCUUCUUCAGCCGGCCGAGAGCGGACGCAUCUGCAGACACCCUGAGGACAUCACCGUUGUCUCACCGAUAAGUAGCUCUGUAAAAUUAACUAAUCCAAAUCACUUUCUUUUUCAUCCUCGGGGCCUCUCUCGGUCGGUGGGGGCUGUUUAGUAAUUAAUUUUUAUACUCUCAGGAGUGUUUACCACCUUCUUUCUACGUAAGGGCUUUAGGCGGCCACGUGUGUGGUCCGCCUCCUCAACUUAUACCGAUUCGUGCCUCGGGUGUUUUAGCUGUGUAAAGGGAGGAUUGUAGAAGGACGUGUAACGUAUCAAUAAAACCAACUUAAUUGAGCCACGUGUCUUUUGUGUUUGGAGGCCAUGUGAGCCCUUAACCCAGUCAGCGGCGUGUGGAACGCCCUAAGAACCCACUGCGGUUAUGUAGAAGCGUGCCCGACGCUGAGAGCGGGCUCGGUAUAGGGACAGGUGUCAACAUCGAGAUCAGGAGGGCUAAUAUCUCGCCUCACACGGGCCACGUAAUGCCCUGAAUAAGAGUCUCUAGCCGGGUCCAUGUGCCCUCUCACGUGGUGGCGCCCACUAUUUCCACAACUAGUUCAAAAUGUAACACCCGUAGGCCCUCAAAUGUCUAUCUCAAUUAAAAUAAUAAAA
Molecule: long non-coding RNA, 5631 nt
Organism: Bacillus rossius redtenbacheri
Lineage: Eukaryota; Metazoa; Arthropoda; Insecta; Phasmatodea; Bacillidae
Exons: 2
Source: RefSeq, a predicted model, not a curated record